RNAcentral lists this ribosomal RNA (435 nucleotides) under uncultured bacterium. Its description in RNAcentral is "partial 16S ribosomal RNA". It matches the Rfam family "Bacterial small subunit ribosomal RNA", at positions 29 to 507 of the family's 1533-position model. The record is from RNAcentral.
AGCGAACGCUGGCGGCAGGCUUAACACAUGCAAGUCGAACGGGCAUAGCAAUAUGUCAGUGGCAGACGGGUGAGUAACGCGGGGGAACGUACCUUUUGGUUCGGAACAACACAGGGAAACUUGUGCUAAUACCGGAUAAGCCCUUACGGGGAAAGAUUUAUCGCCGCAAGAUCGGCCCGCGUCUGAUGAGCUAGUUGGUAGGGUAAUGGCCUACCAAGGCGACGAUCAGUAGCUGGUCUGAGAGGAUGAUCAGCCACAUUGGGGCUGAGACACGGCCCGAACUCCUCCGCGAGGCAGCAGUGGGGAAUAUUGCAACGUGGCCGAAAUCCUGAUCCACCCAUGCCGCGUGAGUGAUGUAGGCCCUAGGGUUGUAAAGCUCUUUUGUGCGUGAAGAUAAUGACGGUACCGAAAGAAUAAGCCCCGGCUAACUUCGUG